AAAAUCUUAUGUUAAUUAAACAAAUAGCCUUCAAAGCUAUAAUCAAAAGUAAACCCUUUUAGAUUUUA
This 68-nucleotide transfer RNA is filed under the name Megaloprepus caerulatus. RNAcentral describes it as "tRNA-Trp". The record is from RNAcentral. Lineage: Eukaryota; Metazoa; Arthropoda; Insecta; Odonata; Coenagrionidae.